This 492-nucleotide ribosomal RNA is filed under the name uncultured bacterium. RNAcentral describes it as "partial 16S ribosomal RNA". It matches the Rfam family "Bacterial small subunit ribosomal RNA", at positions 29 to 507 of the family's 1533-position model. The record is from RNAcentral.
AGUGAACGCUGGCGGUAGGCCUAACACAUGCAAGUCGAACGGCAGCACAGUAAGAGCUUGCUCUUACGGGUGGCGAGUGGCGGACGGGUGAGGAACACAUCGGAAUCUACUUUUUCGUGGGGGAUAACGUAGGGAAACUUACGCUAAUACCGCAUACGACCUACGGGUGAAAGCAGGGGAUCUUCGGACCUUGCGUGAUUGAAUGAGCCGAUGUCGGAUUAGCUAGUUGGCGGGGUAAAGGCCCACCAAGGCGACGAUCCGUAGCUGGUCUGAGAGGAUGAUCAGCCACACUGGAACUGAGACACGGUCCAGACUCCUACGGGAGGCAGCAGUGGGGAAUAUUGGACAAUGGGCGCAAGCCUGAUCCAGCCAUACCGCGUGAGUGAAGAAGGCCUUCGGGUUGUAAAGCCCUUUUGUUGGGAAAGAAAGACAGCAGGUUAAUACCCCGCUGUUCUGACGGUACCCAAAGAAUAAGCACCGGCUAACUUCGUG